Molecule: ribosomal RNA, 467 nt
Filed under: uncultured bacterium
Lineage: Bacteria
Description: bacterial SSU rRNA
Rfam family: Bacterial small subunit ribosomal RNA
Source: RNAcentral
GCCAGACUCCUACGGGAGGCAGCAGUGAGGCCUCUUGGUCAAUGGGCGCGAGCCUGAACCAGCCCAGUAGCGUGAAGGAUGACUGCCCUACGGGUUGUAACCUUCUUUUAUAAAGGAAUAAAGUGAGGCCCGUGUGCCUUUUUGUAUGUACUUUAUGAAUAAGGAUCGGCUAACUCCGUGCCAGCAGCCGCGGUAAUACGGAGGAUCCGAGCGUUAUCCGGAUUUAUUGGGUUUAAAGGGAGCGUAGAUGGGUUGUUAAGUCAGUUGUGAAAGGUUGCGGCUCAACCGUAAAAUUGCAAUUGAUACUGGCAGUCUUGAGUACAGUUGAGGUAGGCGGAAUUCGUGGUGUAGCGGUGAAAUGCUGAGAUAUCACGAAGACCCCCGAUUGCGAAGGCAGCUUACUAAACUGUGACUGACAUUGAUGCUCGAAAGUGUGGGUAUCAAACAGGAUUAGAUACCCGGGUAUA